This 810-nucleotide ribosomal RNA is filed under the name uncultured bacterium. RNAcentral's name for it is "bacterial SSU rRNA". It matches the Rfam family "Bacterial small subunit ribosomal RNA", at positions 8 to 796 of the family's 1533-position model. The record is from RNAcentral.
AGAGUUUGAUCCUGGCUCAGAACGAACGCUGGCGGCGUGGAUAAGACAUGCAAGUCGAGCGAGAUUUUUUCCUGUAGCAAUACAGGGAAAAGUCUAGCGGCGAACGGGUGCUUAACACGUGGGCAACCUGCCAAGAAGUGGGGGAUAGCUCGCCGAAAGGCGAAUUAAUACCGCAUGUGAUCAGAGUGGACAUCCAUUCGAAAUCAAAGUCGGGGCAACCUGACGCUUCUUGAGGGGCCCGCGGCCUAUCAGCUAGUUGGUGAGGUAACGGCCCACCAAGGCUUAGACGGGUAGCUGGUCUGAGAGGACGACCAGCCACACUGGGACUGAGACACGGCCCAGACACCUACGGGUGGCAGCAGUCGAGAAUUUUUGACAAUGGGGGAAACCCUGAUCGAGCGACGCCGCGUGGAGGAUGAAGGUCUUCGGGUUGUAAACUCCUGUCAUUUGGGAACAAUGGUUAUGCGUUAACUGCGCGUGACUUGAUAGUACCAGAAGAGGAAGAGACGGCUAACUCUGUGCCAGCAGCCGCGGUAAUACAGAGGUCUCAAGCGUUGUUCGGAUUCAUUGGGCGUAAAGGGUGCGUAGGCGGCGCGGUAAGUCGGGUGUGAAAUCUCGGAGCUUAACUCCGAAACUGCAUUCGAUACUGCCGUGCUUGAGGACUGGAGAGGAGACUGGAAUUUACGGUGUAGCAGUGAAAUGCGUAGAUAUCGUAAGGAAGACCAGUGGCGAAGGCGGGUCUCUGGACAGUUCCUGACGCUGAGGCACGAAGGCCAGGGGAGCAAACGGGAUUAGAUACCCCUGUAGUCC